UGUGAGGUGGUGCUAUGUAGCAGGAACCCCUCUUGCUUUGCAAAUAGUUUUUUGUUUGUUUUCCUUUUUGCCCAAUAGAGCCCUGCUCUACUGACCCUUCAAUGUGCCCGUGUGCCUAAAUAUUCCUGGUCGUGUGAAAAGAACCCAGGUAUUAGCUGAACUAAGGAGCACAAUUCUGCAACAUUUUGGCACCCAAACACGGGGCUUGAGAAAUGAAUGCAAUUGGAGAAACUGGUUGUUUUACCAGGCGUUGAUUGGAAAUGUGUGCUUCCCUUUAAGCAGUCAAGCUCAACUUGCAGAACUGAUGGGAACCCCUUGGGAAAACUGGCCUCAAAUGUUUGUCUACACAGUCCACAUACAGGGUUCUUAACCUGCGACUGACCCUGCUUGUGCCUGUGAACCAACCAACAAUCUCUGGCUGCAGCUCAGAAAGGACAAAAGAGAAUGGAUGAGGGAAACUUCCCAGGGCUUGUCUGGGUAUGCCCACAGUGGACUGGAGCCCAAAAUGCACACUGGAGGAAGUGGAUGGAGCCACGUGGAUGUCAUGCCUUAUGCAGGGGAGGAGCCUGCUCUCUUCAGCUCCUGUGGUAAUGUGGGAAUCGAUCUGUGAGGUGAGGACCUGUUAGCAGGAACCCCUCUUGCUUUGCUGAAAGUUUUAUUUUUCUUUUUGCCCUAUAAAACCCUGUUCUACUAACCCUUCAAUAUGUCUGCAUUCCUAAAUUUUCCUGGUCAUGUGACGAGAACCUAGGUUUUAGCUGAACUAAGGAGCAAAAUUCUGCAACAUAAAGUCAAAGAAAACUAUGCCUAUAUCCAUUAAAUCAAAUGUUAAAAAGCAAAUAUAAAGAAAAAGUCUUCACAGCCCUAGAGAAAAGUGAAACAUUGUACAUAAAGAAGUAAUAAUUUGAAUGGAUUGUCAGAAACCAUGACUAGAAGACAGAGGAGCAAUAUUUUCAAAUUUCAUAGAGAAAGGAAAAAAAGAAAAGAAGAAAAAAAAGAAGACAUAAUAAAACACCUGUCAUUUUAGUAUUCUGUACCCAUUGAACAUAACCUUCAAUAGAAUGUGAAGUAGACAUAUUCAGGUGAAUAAAAAAUCAAGAGAAUAAUAGUUAUGUUCUACAUGAAAUUAUAAAGGAAAUUUCUCAGACUAGGUGGAAAUUAUACUAGUGAGAAACAGAUUUGAAGGACUAAAGGAAGAGAUGAUAGACUGACAAAGUCAAUUUUUAAAAGCCAGAUCUAACUUCUUAUUGGCUACAAGGAAUCCACUUUUAAUAUACAAAAAUAGGUAAUAAUUAAAUUGCUAGAAAAUACAUUUCAAAUAAAGAAUCAGCACAUGUAGCUUGGAGAAGAUAUAUUAACAUAAAAAGGACUUCAAUAAAAGGAGUAUUAUGAGAAGACAUUUAUGCAGCCAAAAAACACAUGAAAAAAUGCUCACCAUCACUGGCCAUCAGAGAAAUGCAAAUCAAAACCACAAUGAGAUACCAUCUCACACCAGUUAGAAUGGCAAUCAUUAAAAAGUCAGGAAACAACAGGUGCUGGAGAGGAUGUGGAGAAAUAGGAACACUUUUACACUGUUGGUGGGACUGUAAACUAGUUCAACCAUUGUGGAAGUCAGUGUGGUGAUUCCUCAGGGAUCUAGAACUGGAAAUACCAUUUGACCCAGCCAUCCCAUUACUGGGUGUAUACCCAAAGGACUAUAAAUCAUGCUUCUAUAAAGACACAUGCACAGGUAUGUUUAUUGCGGCACUAUUCACAAUAGCAAAGACCUGGAACCAACCCAAAUGUCCAACAAUGAUAGACUGGAUUAAGAAAAUGUGGCACAUAUACACCAUGGAAUACUAUGCAGCCAUAAAAAAUGAUGAGUUCAUGUCCUUUGUAGGGACAUGGAUGAAAUUGGAAAUCAUCAUUCUCAGUAAACUAUCACAAGGACAAAAAACCAAACACCACAUAUUCUCACUCAUAGGUGGGAAUUGAACAAUGAGAUCACAUGGACACGGGAAAGGGAACAUCACACUCUGGGGACUGUUGUGGGGUGGGGGGAGAGGGGAGGGAUAGCAUUAGGAGAUAUACCUAAUGCUAAAUGAUGAGUUAAUGAGUGCAGCACACCAGCAUGGCACAUGUAUACAUAUGUAACUAACCUUUACGUUGUGCACAUGUACCCUAAAACUUAAAGUAUAAUAAUAAUAAAAUAAAAUAAAAUAAAAAUUUAUCAGAAAAA
Long non-coding RNA from Homo sapiens (human), 2215 nucleotides. Ensembl annotates it as p53 upregulated regulator of p53 levels. Its record names the gene PURPL. The record is from Ensembl. NCBI's taxonomy places the organism in Eukaryota, Metazoa, Chordata, Mammalia, Primates, Hominidae.